This 465-nucleotide ribosomal RNA is filed under the name Vreelandella stevensii. Its description in RNAcentral is "partial 16S ribosomal RNA". It matches the Rfam family "Bacterial small subunit ribosomal RNA", at positions 338 to 795 of the family's 1533-position model. Lineage: Bacteria; Pseudomonadati; Pseudomonadota; Gammaproteobacteria; Oceanospirillales; Halomonadaceae. The record is from RNAcentral.
CCUACGGGAGGCUGCAGUGGGGAAUAUUGGACAAUGGGGGCAACCCUGAUCCAGCCAUGCCGCGUGUGUGAAGAAGGCCCUCGGGUUGUAAAGCACUUUCAGUGAGGAAGAACGCCUGGUGGUUAAUACCCAUCAGGAAAGACAUCACUCACAGAAGAAGCACCGGCUAACUCCGUGCCAGCAGCCGCGGUAAUACGGAGGGUGCGAGCGUUAAUCGGAAUUACUGGGCGUAAAGCGCGCGUAGGUGGCUUGAUAAGCCGGUUGUGAAAGCCCCGGGCUCAACCUGGGAACGGCAUCCGGAACUAUCAAGCUAGAGUGCAGGAGAGGAAGGUAGAAUUCCCGGUGUAGCGGUGAAAUGCGUAGAGAUCGGGAGGAAUACCAGUGGCGAAGGCGGCCUUCUGGACUGACACUGACACUGAGGUGCGAAAGCGUGGGUAGCAAACAGGAUUAGAUACCCCGGUAGUC